This 503-nucleotide ribosomal RNA is filed under the name uncultured bacterium. RNAcentral describes it as "partial 16S ribosomal RNA". It matches the Rfam family "Bacterial small subunit ribosomal RNA", at positions 30 to 523 of the family's 1533-position model. The record is from RNAcentral.
AUUGAACGCUGGCGGCAGGCUUAACACAUGCAAGUCGAGCGGGGUGAUGGUGCUUGCACUAUCACUUAGCGGCGGACGGGUGAGUAAUGCUUAGGAAUCUGCCUAUUAGUGGGGGACAACAUCUCGAAAGGGCUGCUAAUACCGCAUACGUCCUACGGGAGAAAGCAGGGGAUCACUUGUGACCUUGCGCUAAUAGAUGAGCCUAAGUCGGAUUAGCUAGUUGGUGGGGUAAAGGCCUACCAAGGCGACGAUCUGUAGCGGGUCUGAGAGGAUGAUCCGCGACACUGGGACUGAGACAAGGCCCAGGCUCCAACGGGAGGCAGCAGUGGGGAAUAUUGGACAAUGGGGUGAACCCUGAUCCAGCCAUGCCGCGUGUGUGAAGAAGGCCUUAUGGUUGUAAAGCACUUUAAGCGAGGAGGAGGCUCUUUUGGUUAAUACCCAAGAUGAGUGGACGUUACUCGCAGAAUAAGCACCGGCUAACUCUGUGCCAGCCGCCGCGGUAA